CAGGCAUCAUCAGAAUCGUAAACGUCGGGCAUCAUCAUCGUGGAGGUGGCCUUCCUAGACACAUUUGAAAAUUUUACACGUUGUCUCUAUAUAAUAUAUCCUUGCUAUAUAUCGGAAAUGAUAAUUCUCGAAGUCCCUUUCCGUCAAAAGUUUUCGGACCCCGUCGACAAAUUUAGGCACUUAGAGAUUAGUAUUAUUGAGGUGAUUCCUCAAUCGGUUUAGAGCCUGGCUAACUGCUUUGUUUCGAUAAAUUAAGGAGCGAUGGCGGUAUAUAACCUGUUAUUCAGAACUGUGUCUCAGGCAAACGUCAGUGCGAGUUGUGAAUAGUAUAAGAGGAGCCAUUACACCGUAUAGGAUGCAAACGAACGGCAUGUUAGGGAAAAUGCAACAGCGGAUCACGGCGGCAUACGCCGACGAUAUAUGAGAAACAAGGGAGGACCCAUCCAGAACAAAUAAAUAUGGCCGGAAAGGCGUAGGUCGUGGUGGGAUUUCGAAGAACGAUUGGAGGAAUGAAUGGUAUGAUCCAAGGAAAGUUGAUCCGAGAACUUUCAAGAUGAUGCGGACACAGCUGACGUAAAAAAAGGACAGAACAGGAAGAUUCAAGAAGCUAAAGGCCAAAACGUGAAAGGCACGGGAGAUCGUACCUUUGUCGAAACGUGCUAUUUCGGGGCGACGAAGAUACGGAGACUGAGAUAAAAUGAGUCGAUCUCGGGAUCAAGACAGAGGCGGAAAGUCAAGCGUCAAGAAGCAACGCAUCAGCUAAGCGGUUCACAGACUCGCAUGACGAUGCGACGAGGCUUUCCUUCUCCGGCCGAAUAGUGCGUUCACGGAGCUUGUGCAGGAUCUGUGGGGUGGCUGCGAAGGGAGUAGACAGUUCAGACGUGGAGACAGAUAAGAUAGACGCCUAUGUAGGGCUAGGAGGGUUGGCGAGGAAAGAGAUGGAACGGGAGGUGGAGAGGAUCGGGGCAACCGGGAAGACAGGAAGACAGGAAGGAGAUUGAGUUCCCAAGGGAUAGACGAAGACGUGUAAUGCGAAGGGAACUCGGGGCGCUGUUGUUGAGUGUGUGGGUGUUCGUAUACUGUUCCUCCGCGGUCGAGGGCGCCGCAAGAACUUCGUUGUCGCUAGCGGGCGCACUCUAAUGCAGAGCCUCACCUGUCGGCUGACAGCACCCGCUUUAUUUUAAGUUGAGAGUCAUGAUCAGGGAUAGUGACUGAUUCAAGAGGGCAG
This 1228-nucleotide small RNA is filed under the name Histoplasma capsulatum. RNAcentral describes it as "hypothetical RNA". The record is from RNAcentral. Lineage: Eukaryota; Fungi; Ascomycota; Eurotiomycetes; Onygenales; Ajellomycetaceae. RNAcentral also lists the same sequence under 1 other name.